Long non-coding RNA from Neofelis nebulosa (Clouded leopard), 434 nucleotides. RefSeq lists it as uncharacterized. The record is from RefSeq and is a predicted model, not a curated record. NCBI's taxonomy places the organism in Eukaryota, Metazoa, Chordata, Mammalia, Carnivora, Felidae. The transcript has 3 exons.
GUUUUUGGGGAGUGAGAAGAGGGAGGGAGUCAAGAAACCUAACUGAUCUUCCAACAUUCAUGAAAUGUUAUGUAGAAUGGGAAGGAUAGAUUUUCCAUUCAGCUACACACUUUAUAAGAGUGGAUUUGUGUCCUGGAGCGAGCAGAGCUGCAUUUAAAAGUAUGCUAGCUUCCAGCUUGAGAUUCUCAGAGGAGCAGCAAAGCAAAGAACAGAACAUUGCCCUGAAUGUUUGGAGAGCUCAGAUGGGGGCUUAGCCAUCAAAUGUAACUGUCACCAGCACAGCCCCUUGCCUGUGAGUUUCUGAAACAUUUCUUACAUUUAUGCAUUUGUUUGAUCUGUUUAACAAUCCAGUGUGAUAAUUGGGGUAAGAAUAUUUGUUCCAGUUUUACUGAUGGAUAACAUGAGGCUUAAAGAGAUGAAGUAAAUGGCUAGAA